RNAcentral lists this ribosomal RNA (301 nucleotides) under uncultured bacterium. RNAcentral describes it as "partial 16S ribosomal RNA". It matches the Rfam family "Bacterial small subunit ribosomal RNA", at positions 509 to 807 of the family's 1533-position model. The record is from RNAcentral.
CAGUAGCCACGGUAAUACGUAGGGUGCAAGCGUUAAUCGGAAUUACUGGGCGUAAAGCGUGCGCAGGCGGUUAUAUAAGUCAGAUGUGAAAUCCCCGGGCUCAACCUGGGAACUGCAUUUGAGACUGUAUGGCUAGAGUGUGUCAGAGGGGGGUAGAAUUCCACGUGUAGCAGCGAGAUGCGUAGAUAUGUGGAGGAAUAUCGAUGGCGAAGGCAGCCCCCUGGGACAACACUGACGCUCAUGCACGAAAGCGUGGGGAGCAAACAGGAUUAGAGACCCCUGUAGUCCCUGUCUCUUAUAC